RNAcentral lists this long non-coding RNA (673 nucleotides) under Pongo abelii (Sumatran orangutan). Its description in RNAcentral is "lincRNA". Lineage: Eukaryota; Metazoa; Chordata; Mammalia; Primates; Hominidae. The record is from RNAcentral.
GACAUUACAAAGGACCUCUGUGUCAGAAACUAGGAUUAAAGAACAAAUACAGAACAAAUGAUUCCUCCAGCACCCCUACUGCAAGGAUUUUAAGAACUCUAUCUCAGGAUAAAGACCUGAGGGUCACAAGAUGUACAUCGCUGGCCCCAGCUGGAUUUUCCCACGGUUAGGUGCCCAUUCCUACCUAAUCAAAGGACACUUCUGCUGACCUGCACCUAGAAUACCCUGCUCUGUGCUGAUGACUCAGAUGUAAGAAUGAUGAAGUGCAUCAGUUGGCAUGCAGAGAACAAUGAGAAAAAGAACUGAGUUGUGGGAAGACAUGAGGAAAGGACAUGAGGCUCUUAAUAACAGCUGCCAAGUACUGCAGUCGGGAAUCUGGAGCAAAGUGAUUCAAUUCUGACCACUGCCUGUGAGUAAACGGGAUUUUCUUUUUCAAUACUUUUAACAGUAUCUCCUUCAUUACAUGUGAACAGCACUCCAGGAUAGUAAAUCAUGAAGUGGGAAUAAAGCCUGUAAUUUUAAUUAACAUAUUUUAAAAUGUUUCUAAUUUGUAUGCAUUUGAUCAAAUUUUCAUUUGCAUUGAGCUAUUUUUUCUUUCUCAUAUAAUGUUUGACAUUACCAUUUCUUUCUUUAAUGAAAUACUAAUAUUUAAUAAAAUAUAUUACAUCCUUAA